CGGCGAGUGAAGCGGCAAGAGCUCAAAUUUGAAAUCUGGCUCCUUCGGGGCCCGAGUUGUAAUUUGGAGAGGAUGCUUCGGGCGUGGCCCCUAUCUAAGUGCCCUGGAACGGGCCGUCAUAGAGGGUGAGAAUCCCGUCUGGGAUAGGUGGUCCCGCCCGUGUGAAGCUCCUUCGAAGAGUCGAGUUGUUUGGGAAUGCAGCUCUAAGAGGGUGGUAAAUUUCAUCUAAAGCUAAAUAUUGGCCGGAGACCGAUAGCGCACAAGUAGAGUGAUCGAAAGAUGAAAAGCACUUUGAAAAGAGAGUUAAACAGCACGUGAAAUUGUUGAAAGGGAAGCAUUGGCAACCAGACUUGCUUGGGGAGGCUCAGCCGGCACGUGUGCCGGUGCACUCCUCCCCGGCAGGCCAGCGUCGGUUUGGGCGGUCGGUCAAAGGCCCUGGGAAUGUAGCACUCUUCGGGGUGCCUUAUAGCCCGGGGCGCCAUGCGACCUGCCCGGACCGAGGAACGCGCUUCGGCUCGGACGCUGGCGUAAUGGUUGUCAAUGGCCCGUCUUGAAACACGGACCAAGGAGUCUAACAUCUAUGCGAGUGUUCGGGUGUCAAACCCGUCCGCGCAGUGAAAGCGAACGGAGGUGGGAACCCUCUCGGGGGCGCACCAUCGACCGAUCCUGAUGUCUUCGGAUGGAUUUGAGUAAA
This 694-nucleotide ribosomal RNA is filed under the name Penicillium sp. RNAcentral's name for it is "partial large subunit ribosomal RNA". It matches the Rfam family "Eukaryotic large subunit ribosomal RNA", at positions 87 to 798 of the family's 3401-position model. The record is from RNAcentral. Lineage: Eukaryota; Fungi; Ascomycota; Eurotiomycetes; Eurotiales; Aspergillaceae.